GUCCGAAACCGGGGGGAGGUCUUCUUCACCCCAUCAUACCAAUAAAACACAUUCCACCACACAACCAUGACGUGCAUCUCUAUCAACUGCAAAGGGCUAAAUAACCCCGCUAACCUCACCAAAGCAGACAUAAUCCUUCUACAGGAGACACAUUACGCAGACACACGCCCUUUCCCUCUCCUGAGUCGCCACUUUAGGGCCUGCUACCAAGCCUACUCCAACUCAGGCAAACACAACGGAGUGGCGAUUCUCCUGAGAAAAACCUGCCCCCUCCAGAUCGCCACCACCCACAGGGACCCCAACGGCCGCUUCCUCACGGUAGCGGGCACAAUAGGCCCAGCCAAAUACGCGAUCACCUCCGUCUACGGCCCCACAAUCCCCGACCCGGGAUUCUGGCCCACCCUACAAGCCCACCUCAGCCUACACCCAAACUACCACCAGAUUAUAGGUGGAGAUUUCAACACCACGAUCGAUCCACAUAUAGACAGACUUAAACAGCCACCACAGACUUCUACACACACCCAAUCGACCAGAACCGACAAACUUAUGGCAGACUUCAUUUCUACAACCAAACUGAUAGACAUAUGGAGACUGCAACAUCC
Pelobates cultripes (western spadefoot toad) is the source of this 602-nucleotide non-coding RNA. Lineage: Eukaryota; Metazoa; Chordata; Amphibia; Anura; Pelobatidae. The record is from the annotation of a GenBank genome assembly.